GCCAUAACUGACGCUCAUGGACGAAAGCCAGGGGAGCGAAAGGGAUUAGAUACCCCUGUAGUCCUGGCCGUAAACGAUGAACACUAGGUGUCGGGGGAAUCGACCCCCUCGGUGUCGUAGCCAACGCGUUAAGUGUUCCGCCUGGGGAGUACGCACGCAAGUGUGAAACUCAAAGGAAUUGACGGGGGCCCGCACAAGCGGUGGAGUAUGUGGUUUAAUUCGAUGCAACGCGAAGAACCUUACCAGGGUUUGACAUCCUGCGAAUCUCCUGGAAACGGGAGAGUGCCUUCGGGAACGCAGUGACAGGUGGUGCAUGGCUGUCGUCAGCUCGUGUCGUGAGAUGUUGGGUUAAGUCCCGCAACGAGCGCAACCCACGUCUUUAGUUGCCAGCAUUCAGUUGGGCACUCUAGAGAGACCGCCGGUGAUAAACCGGAGGAAGGUGUGGAUGACGUCAAGUCAUCAUGCCCCUUACAUCCUGGGCUACACACGUACUACAAUGCUACGGACAAAGGGCAGCAAACUCGCGAGAGCUAGCAAAUCCCAUAAACCGUGGCUCAGUUCAGAUCGUAGGCUGCAACUCGCCUACGUGAAGGAGGAAUCGCUAGUAAUCGCAGGUCAGCAUACUGCGGUGAAUACGUUCCCGGGCCUUGUACACACCGCCCGUCACACCAUGGAAGUUGGCCACGCCCGAAGCCGUUACUCCAACCCUUGUGGAGGAGGACGUCGAAGGUGGGGCUGAU
RNAcentral lists this ribosomal RNA (740 nucleotides) under marine metagenome. RNAcentral's name for it is "bacterial SSU rRNA". It matches the Rfam family "Bacterial small subunit ribosomal RNA", at positions 733 to 1472 of the family's 1533-position model. The record is from RNAcentral.